CAGGCUAAUUUUGCAUGGAGGAAAAUAAACAAUAAAACAUGUCGAAAAUAGAGUUGUUGAGAGAGUUUCUCAACCAGAAAUUAACAGCGGCUGCUGAGGAGAUAUUUGGGGUCGUUGAAAAAACGAUAGCAGAGUACCAGGUAGACGUUUUUCGUACGAAAGAGGAGAACGAACGUCUUCGUGGGCUGUUGAUGGUGCAUAGAGGAGAGUCAGACUGCCAUCAGCAGGCUGAAGCUACUAUCACUUUGGUGCAGGUUGCCCCAGAGCAGCAGCAGUCAUGUUCUCAAGAGUGGGGCCUCCAUCUAAGACAGGAGGACCCAGAGCCCACAAUGUCACAGUGUAAAGAGGAAGACGAUACCUACUGGAUCAGUGAGGUCGAAGAGCACAUUCAAAUGCUGGAGUCUGAUCCCAAAGACCCAGACCAAGUAUCCACUCCUGAAGAUUUCACAUUCCAAAUGGAGACAGAAGGGUCAGUAAAUGAAGCCAUCAAACUGAAAGUCAUCCUCAACAACAACAGAAUAGAGAAAGUGAUUCUGCCCUCUCAACCUGACUCACUGAAUGAGCUGAUAUCAACGCUCAAGGAGAAACUGCAUCUGAAUUUAGAUUUUCGUCUUCUUUAUGAAGACCCUGAUUUCAACAACGAGCUCUUCAACUUAGAGACCAUUGAAGACUUGCCUUCUCCUAGGGCUACGGUGAAAGUUUUGCGAAUACGACGUGCUACAGACCUCGGUUUAACCGGACUCUCAGCCACUGAGUUACAGGAUGCCCCACCAGAGCGGCUAGGCAGGUGGCCUGAGGUAUUUGUCAUACCCACUUUCUCGAUGGAAGUUGAGUUUGCUCUGAGAGAGGGCAAUUGUGCAUAUCUGAGACAUGAAACGGUGCUGAAAAUAACAAGGGAUCAAAAACACAACAUUCUUGAUAGGAUGGCUUGGACAAUCUUCAAUUUCAAAGCGUACCCAAGUGACAGGCAGUUUGCCAAGGCAGCUGAGGCCCUUGUAACCAAGCACCCGUGUUUGAAAGAGCCUGGCUCAAAAACAGGCUGCGAUGGCUGGAAGAACAGCCUGAAAUUCAAAAUGGGAAACUACAGGCAGAAGUUACGCCGUGUUGGGUUCCCAGAGGUUGCUGUGAACGGUGGGAGGAGGAGCAAGCAUCGUCCUGACAAUGAGCACGCUCGGAGCAACAUCAAACGAGCACGCCGGGCAGAGGUGAACUUCCUGCCCAACUUCCCUCAAGGAGAAGAUGAGGCCAGGCUGGAGAAACAGACUGGAGAUGGUCCACGAGAUGACGAAAGAAAACAGAGACCUGCCACUCAUCAAUCAACACAUGCAGAAGACAUUUGCUUUCCGACGCCAAGAAAUAGUUAAAUCCAGUCCCUCGGUAGAGCAUCUCAGAACACGCUGGCCAGCACUCUUCCUUGAAGCCCAGGUUAAGCAGACUAAGAAAAGUUGUCUUUGUCCAUUCAUGUUCUCAUAACAACCUACAUUUCCAUUGCAGUUCAGACCUUUUUUAAUGCAUGUCACAUGGGCUUCUGGUUGUACUCACAAAUCAUGGUUAUCAGUAACAAAAUUCUCAGGGCAGACUCAACUUGCCUGACUGCCAUAAAUUGGUGUGUGCUUUGUCUUUUGCUUUAGGUACAUGCUGAGUUUCAGAGAAUCACCAACCAGAGCCUGCAGCAGACGUUCUACGCUGCCUUGGACCUCCACACACCCCGCCUGCUGACCCUGUUCAGGGAGAAGGAGGGGAAGUCCACCACCCAUGGAGGGAAGUUCUCAAGCAUCCUGAGAGUGUACAACGAGCAGUUCACUUCACAGGGAGAAAAGAACAUCACCGUGGCCCGUUCUGCAGUCCUGGCUGGUCUCCCUUUGUUGUUACGAGAGGAUAGUUCUGAUGUCUUCAAAAUCUGCAAGGUGGGAGAACUCAGCAACCCUGGUAUUCUGGAUGGAGUUUCCAUUCUCUCAGUGGUGGGCCAGCACAAUGAGGUGGUGGGUGGUAUACCCAUCAGACCAGCCCAUGUAUCCAUUGUCCUUGAGGAUAAGAUCGUCAUGACUAGCUCCUGGCCAGACGCUCUCAUGGUUGUUUUUGGGCUACUCUACUCCCUCCAUCUGAACUACCCCAAGGCCCUGGGCAGCACCUUUGAGUUAAUGCAGAAAGUCUUCCUGAACCUCGACGAUGGAAAGCUGAAGCCCAAGUUGCUAGCACUAAAAAAUGAACUGUUGGCCUAAUUCUGUAGUUGAUGAGAUGGAAUUUUACUUUCAGUGACCUCCUAUAUGCCGAGUGAGUGGUUUGAAAACAAUGGUUAUUUUUGUUUGGUUUGCUUUUUAUAUUUUUGUACCUUUUUUGUGAAGGUAAUGGAUUUGAUAUUGUAUUUCAAUUCACUUAUAACCCUUUUAUGUGCAAAGAAGACACAGGUCAGUCAACACAUUAACUUAUAACCCUUUUAUGUGCAAAGAAGACACAGGUCAGUCAACACAUUAACUUGCCACAUACAGUAGAUCUACGACACAGUUCUCUACCUUUUGUUAUACAGCUGCAGAAAACCCCCAAAUGUAUUCUAGAAGAUUUCACCUUUUGCACUCAGUACAGCCUCAAUUUGUCGCAGCAUGGACUCUACAAGGUGUCAAAGCGUUUCACAGGGAUGCUGGCCCAUGUUGACUCCAAUGUGUCCCACAGUUGGCACAAUGUCAAUUAGGUGGUGGACUAUUCUUGAUACACACAGGAAACUGUUGAGCGGGAAAAACCCAGCAGCGUUGCAGUGCUUGACACACUCAAACUUCUUUAACCUGU
This is an RNA transcript of Salvelinus namaycush (lake trout), 2784 nucleotides long. RefSeq lists it as uncharacterized. The transcript has 5 exons. The record is from RefSeq and is a predicted model, not a curated record. Lineage: Eukaryota; Metazoa; Chordata; Actinopteri; Salmoniformes; Salmonidae.